GCACUGGCUCUGGCUCCUGGCCCAGUGCCCGUGCCCGCGGUGCUGAGAGAAGGGAUGGAGACGCAGCUCCGCCCGGGAGGACGGGAGCCAGGGCAGAGGAGGCGGGCCUGGCUUGCAGGCCGCUGUGAACACCGACAGGAGACUUCAGACACCUGCUUAAUCGCAGCUGUGAGCGGCUCCUUCCCAGGCACGGGCUCCAAGCCCAGGCCUUUCUUCUCCAGGCCUGAGGCCCUUGUGUGAUGCGUUUGAAGACCGGGCUUUGUCUGGAAGGAGGCACGACCCGUGCCCCAGCCCUGGAUGCAGGAACCGCCCAGGCCUCCGGGUUUCUCUUCCUGGAACCCUCCACGGCUCCCUCGUGCUGCUGAGUGGGGAUGAGAUGGGGCCUUAGGGGGACCUGACCCUGCUCAGCCCUGCUUGUUAAGGGGGACAGCUGCCUCCACCACCGAGAAGGCCGAGGAAGCGCCUCCAGCUCCCACGAGGAGUGGGGCCUCGGGGACAUGUGCUCCAGCCUCCGCGUGUCAGCCAGACGCAUGCUCCCAGGCUCCGUGGGCAGGACCGGGCAGGGCGAGGCAGGAGGACGGAGGAGGGACCCACUGGACCCAGUGGCUCUCAUCUUCUUCUCGUAUCAGGCCUCCUGGGGGCCUCCGGUCUUUGUGAAGUCCGCAUCUUGAUGCUUCAAUCCAGAGUCUGAAAGAGGAGAGCUGAGGGGAGAAGACGCUGGUUUACCCCGUCAGUGUGCGCCGACUGGGCGCAAGAGGCCCCCGCACGCCAGCUCCGUGCCC
This 782-nucleotide long non-coding RNA is filed under the name Sus scrofa (pig). RNAcentral describes it as "lncRNA (ENSSSCG00070000638.1)". Lineage: Eukaryota; Metazoa; Chordata; Mammalia; Artiodactyla; Suidae. The record is from RNAcentral.